CUUGAAUGGCAUCGGCUUUGGAACGCCACUCCGGAGUGAGGCUCCGCAGGAUUUUUCGUACAAGCUCCUUGUCCGUGUACGUCUUUUUGAGUGCGUGGAGGUCAUUGACGAUUUUUGAAAAUCGUUCAAACAUGUCGAUUUUCUCGUUCUCCUUCAUACGAAAUAAUUCAUAUUCAUGGGUAAAAAAAAUCAAUUUUAGCCUCUCGGACUUGGUCCGUACCUUCGUAGGUGACCUCUAGCUUCUCNN
This 247-nucleotide long non-coding RNA is filed under the name Nicotiana benthamiana. RNAcentral's name for it is "long non-coding RNA (NBEN_LNC034008)". The record is from RNAcentral. Lineage: Eukaryota; Viridiplantae; Streptophyta; Magnoliopsida; Solanales; Solanaceae.